RNAcentral lists this ribosomal RNA (500 nucleotides) under uncultured bacterium. RNAcentral describes it as "partial 16S ribosomal RNA". It matches the Rfam family "Bacterial small subunit ribosomal RNA", at positions 30 to 523 of the family's 1533-position model. The record is from RNAcentral.
AUUGAACGCUGGCGGAAUGCUUUACACAUGCAAGUCGAACGGCAGCACGGACUUCGGUCUGGUGGCGAGUGGCGAACGGGUGAGUAAUGUAUCGGAACGUGCCCUGUCGUGGGGGAUAACAUAGUGAAAAUUACGCUAAUACCGCAUACGAUCUAUGGAUGAAAGCGGGGGAUCGCAAGACCUCGCGCGAUUGGGGCGGCCGAUAUCAGAUUAGGUAGUUGGUGGGGUAAAGGCCCACCAAGCCAACGAUCUGUAGCUGGUCUGAGAGGACGACCAGCCACACUGGAACUGAGACACGGUCCAGACUCCUACGGGAGGCAGCAGUGGGGAAUUUUGGACAAUGGGCGAAGGCCUGAUCCAGCCAUUCCGCGUGCAGGAUGAAGGCCCUCGGGUUGUAAACUGCUUUUGUACAGAACGAAAAGGUUUCUACUAAUACUAGGAGCUCAUGACGGUACUGUAAGAAUAAGCACCGGCUAACUACGUGCCAGCCGCCGCGGUAA